UGGGGGAUAUUGCACAAUGGGGGAAACCCUGAUGCAGCGACGCCGCGUGGGUGACGAAGUAUUUCGGUAUGUAAAGCCCUAUCAGCAGGGAAGAAGAUGACAGUACCUGACUAAGAAGCCCCGGCUAACUACGUGCCAGCAGCCGCGGUAAUACGUAGGGGGCAAGCGUUAUCCGGAUUUACUGGGUGUAAAGGGAGCGUAGGUGGCAAGGCAAGCCAGAAGUGAAAACCCGGGGCUUAACCCCGCGGAUUGCUUUUGGAACUGUCUGGCUGGAGUGCAGGAGGGGCAGGCGGAAUUCCUGGU
RNAcentral lists this ribosomal RNA (303 nucleotides) under uncultured bacterium. RNAcentral describes it as "bacterial SSU rRNA". It matches the Rfam family "Bacterial small subunit ribosomal RNA", at positions 355 to 674 of the family's 1533-position model. The record is from RNAcentral.